ACGGGAGGCAGCAGUGGGGAAUAUUGCACAAUGGGGGAAACCCUGAUGCAGCGACGCCGCGUGAGUGAAGAAGUAUUUCGGUAUGUAAAGCUCUAUCAGCAGGGAAGAUAAUGACGGUACCUGACUAAGAAGCCCCGGCUAACUACGUGCCAGCAGCCGCGGUAAUACGUAGGGGGCAAGCGUUAUCCGGAUUUACUGGGUGUAAAGGGAGCGUAGGUGGCGUGGCAAGUCAGAAGUGAAAGCCCGGGGCUCAACCCCGGGACUGCUUUUGAAACUGUCAUGCUGGAGUGCAGGAGAGGUAAGUGGAAUUCCUAGUGUAGCGGUGAAAUGCGUAGAUAUUAGGAGGAACACCAGUGGCGAAGGCGGCUUACUGGACGAUAACUGACGUUGAGGCUCGAAAGCGUGGGGAGCAAACAGGAUUAGAUACCCUGGUA
Molecule: ribosomal RNA, 434 nt
Filed under: uncultured Clostridiales Family XIV bacterium
Lineage: Bacteria; Bacillati; Bacillota; Clostridia; Eubacteriales; Clostridiales Family XIV. Incertae Sedis
Description: bacterial SSU rRNA
Rfam family: Bacterial small subunit ribosomal RNA
Source: RNAcentral